Oryza sativa Japonica Group (Japanese rice) is the source of this 822-nucleotide long non-coding RNA. RefSeq lists it as uncharacterized. The record is from RefSeq and is a predicted model, not a curated record. NCBI's taxonomy places the organism in Eukaryota, Viridiplantae, Streptophyta, Magnoliopsida, Poales, Poaceae.
AUCACUCCUGCAUGCCUCUGCCUAUAAAUAGUAUCAGCUUAUUCUCGAUUUGAUACAACAUUUUUCUUUGUGAGAGGUGAGCAGAACAAACAGAGGAGUGUAUUCGUUGCGGUCUCAGUCCAGACUUUCAGAGGGGUGUAUUCCUUGCGGUCUCAAUCUAGACUUCAGAGGGGUGUAUUCCUCAGUCUCAGUCCAGACUUCAGAUUUAUGGAUGGCAGAAAUGUUACUGCUUGUUUCCUCGUAUUACUUGUGUUUCUUGGGAACUCGAAUAUUGCAGCAGCUGAAUGCUGGGAAACUACUUCGAGUAGUCCGAUCUGCGUAGGCUUUCUGUGCAAGGGGACGUGUUGGAUUGGUGCAAAAAUCUGGAAAGCCAAGGUCAAGGUUCACAAGUGUAUGGGAUCAACACUGAGCAGCAGCUGUUACUGUUACUAUUGUGACAAUAAGCCCUGAAGAUAGAUUAUUGCCUGCAACUAUUGAAAGGAAAUCAAAGAUUUAUUCGUUGCUUUUUUAGCUAAGGAAAGAAUAACUAAAACCUGGAAUUUAGUAAGAUAAUUAGUUUUCUAGUUUAUGAAAUUGUUCUUCUUAAUUUUCCUAGAUUUUAUUAGUAGUAAUAUUUAGUCACUUACUUCAAUUAAUGGUGUUUAUUGUAUUUAUGUAUCCUCCUGUAUUUUUGAAGCUUGCACUUACUAUGGUGAAAUGAUGGAUUUUACAGGCGUAAAAAUUGGCUAUAUUUAUUUAGAGUAGUAUGAACAUCUACGGCGGCAUCCUAUUCAUGAUACUGAAAAUUUUAUGUCUUGGUUCAAUUAGAUCAACAUUCUGGAA